AACUUCGGCCUUCACACAUAAGACAUCAGGGAGCCAGUGGGUUAGGUUUGGGGAGGACAUGGUACUGCAAAAGAAGCACUGGAUUUCAGAGCCAAAGGAGGUUCUUCCCUUGACUUUUGGGUGAGGUCACUCUUGCUUUCUGCUUAAAACUCACUCCUACUACCAGUUUCUGGCUGAAAUGUGUGUGUAAGAGAAUUUGCUGGAAAAACAUUAGUCCAGUGAACAGGAAGAAAGACAAAAGGAGAAUGAUAAGAAUAUCACCUGUAGGGAGCGCGGCCUUCUCCUGACACCUCUAAUAACCCCACUCAAUCCUGUGAGGUUGCUGUGGACACACGUUGUGGAGGAAGCCAGCCAAGAUGGUAAAAUUCUGACUACCCUGAGAACAUGGUGCUGUGUGGAAGCCCAGCCUAGCUGCAUGGAGAGAGAAAGACAUCCAGUCAGUCACCAGCUCCUCCAGGCAUCCACAUGCAGCACCAGGCAUGAGGGUGAAGAAGCAGAUCUGAUUGUGGGCUGUGAAGGCAUGUCUCCAGAAUUGCCUCAGCAUCAGAGCUGGCUGCAAGUUUUAAAGCCAUGGGAAAGUUCGGGACCUAGAGAGAGGACUUAACACUAGACUUGGGCUGCACAAUUCAACUCGGCAACUAUGGCUCAGAUUUCAAGUGUGUACUAAACAGGUCAGCAUGGGGUCAGGAAAGAGGUCAAGGAGUCUACAGCCCAGCAAUGAAGACGAAUCUGGGAAUAGAUUCUACUCUGACUCACAGUGGAAAGUCCCAUGUGCUGUGACUAGGGAAGGACAGCUGAACUGUUGGGAUAAAUUUGAAAUAAUGACCAGAGGUUGUGCUUUUUUCCCCUUAUCUUUAAACAAACAAUAAUGAUCAUGAAAGUAGGAACUCACUGGAAAAUACAGGGAAGAUAAAGAAGAAAAUUAAAAUUAUUCAUAGUCUCCUCAUCCAGA
Long non-coding RNA from Callorhinus ursinus (northern fur seal), 952 nucleotides. RefSeq lists it as uncharacterized. Lineage: Eukaryota; Metazoa; Chordata; Mammalia; Carnivora; Otariidae. The record is from RefSeq and is a predicted model, not a curated record.